AAAAAAAAAAAAAUACGUGCUUAACACAUGCAAGUCGAGCGAACUGAUUAGAAGCUUGCUUCUAUGACGUUAGCGGCGGACGGGUGAGUAACACGUGGGCAACCUGCCUGUAAGACUGGGAUAACUCCGGGAAACCGGAGCUAAUACCGGAUAACAUUUUUUCUUGCAUAAGAGAAAAUUGAAAGAUGGUUUCGGCUAUCACUUACAGAUGGGCCCGCGGUGCAUUAGCUAGUUGGUGAGGUAACGGCUCACCAAGGCAACGAUGCAUAGCCGACCUGAGAGGGUGAUCGGCCACACUGGGACUGAGACACGGCCCAGACUCCUACGGGAGGCAGCAGUAGGGAAUCUUCCGCAAUGGACGAAAGUCUGACGGAGCAACGCCGCGUGAGUGAUGAGACUUUCGGGUCGUAAAACUCUGUUGUUAGGGAAGAACAAGUACAAGAGUAACUGCUGACUGACGACUUCCCCC
RNAcentral lists this ribosomal RNA (469 nucleotides) under Priestia flexa. RNAcentral describes it as "bacterial SSU rRNA". It matches the Rfam family "Bacterial small subunit ribosomal RNA", at positions 37 to 480 of the family's 1533-position model. Lineage: Bacteria; Bacillati; Bacillota; Bacilli; Caryophanales; Bacillaceae. The record is from RNAcentral.